GUAGCAUAAUCAUUAGGGGUUUAAUUGGAACCUGGAAUGAAGGGUUGGACAAAAGAAAGACUGUCUUUAUAGUGUAGGUUGAAGUUUACUUUUAAGUGAAAAGGCUUAAAUGUUUCAGAGGGACGAUAAGACCCUAUAAAGCUUUAUAAAUAAUUGAGAUUUAAUUGAUUUAAUAAAUAAAAAUUGAGUUUGAUUGUUUUAUUUUGUUGGGGUGAUGUGAGUAUAAUUGGUGUUAACUGCUUAUGAGGAAUACUGUUAAUUAUAGAGUUGUAAAUAAUGAUCCUUCUUAAAGAUUAAAAGACUAAGUUACUUUAGGGAUAACAGCGUUAUUUCUUUUGAGAGUUCAUAUCGAAAGAGGAGAUUGCGACCUCGAUGUUGAAUUAAAAUAUCUAUAUAAUGCAGCCGUUAUAAAAGAGGGUCUGUUCGACCUUUAAAUUUUUACAUGAUUUGAGU
This 453-nucleotide ribosomal RNA is filed under the name Hypocolpus diverticulatus. Its description in RNAcentral is "partial 16S ribosomal RNA". It matches the Rfam family "Bacterial large subunit ribosomal RNA", at positions 1956 to 2610 of the family's 2925-position model. The record is from RNAcentral. Lineage: Eukaryota; Metazoa; Arthropoda; Malacostraca; Decapoda; Xanthidae.